UGGAAGCCACUAUAAUAGUACAAGUACCUUUUACCAAUUGCACAAGGCUUUACCAACAUCACUAUGAUUAUUUUCUCCCCUCCUUUAGGAUAUGGAUUAUUCUGCUCUAAGACCCUACCUCAGCCCUAUCAAAUCUAUAGUCGUCAUAAUACAAUCAAGUGAAUAGGGUAACUAAACUAUAGGCACAAGGUGCUUGAAGGACAUGAGGAGCAUAUCUGUUAAAGUUUCCACCCUUUUAUGAUGUUUUCAAUUUAUCAGUAAUAAUUUAACCAUAAAAACCCAAAAUGAAUACUAAAAUAUCAAUA
This 305-nucleotide unclassified non-coding RNA is filed under the name Hevea brasiliensis (rubber tree). The record is from RNAcentral. Lineage: Eukaryota; Viridiplantae; Streptophyta; Magnoliopsida; Malpighiales; Euphorbiaceae.